GGCCGCGGGCGCCGCUGCUAACUGUGGGGCUGGAGGACGCGGCCGAGGCGGAGCGCGGCGGCCAGCGGACGAGAUGCGAGCGCUGCCGCUGUGGGCCGCUGUGCUGGUGCUGGGGGCGCUGGCGGGCGUCGGCGUCGGAGGGCCCAACAUCUGUGCCACACGAGGCGUGAGCUCCUGCCAGCAAUGUCUGGCUGUGAGUCCCAUGUGUGCCUGGUGCUCAGAUGAGGCUCUGCCUCCGGGCUCGCCCCGCUGUAACCUGAAGGAGAAUCUGCUGAAGAAUGACUGCGCCCUGGAGUCCAUCGAGUUCCCCAUCAGCGAGGCCAGAAUCCUGGAGGCCAGGCCCCUCAGUGACAAGGGCUCUGGAGACAGCUCCCAGAUCACUCAAGUCAGUCCCCAGAGGAUUGCACUCCGGCUACGGCCAGAUGAUUCGAAGAAUUUCUCCGUCCAAGUUCGGCAGGUGGAGGAUUACCCCGUGGACAUCUACUACUUAAUGGACCUGUCUUAUUCCAUGAAGGACGAUCUGUGGAGCAUCCAGAACCUGGGUACCAAGCUGGCCUCCCAGAUGCGUAAGCUCACCAGUAACCUGCGGAUUGGCUUCGGGGCCUUUGUGGACAAGCCCGUUUCACCAUACAUGUACAUCUCCCCACCAGAGGCCCUCAGAAACCCCUGCUAUGAUAUGAAGACCACCUGUUUGCCCAUGUUUGGCUACAAACACGUGCUGACGCUAACUGACCAGGUGACCCGUUUCAAUGAGGAGGUGAAGAAGCAGAGUGUGUCACGAAACCGAGAUGCCCCAGAGGGUGGCUUUGAUGCCAUCAUGCAGGCUACCGUCUGUGAUGAGAAGAUUGGCUGGAGGAAUGAUGCCUCCCACUUGCUGGUGUUUACCACUGAUGCCAAGACCCAUAUAGCGCUGGAUGGAAGGCUGGCAGGCAUUGUCCAGCCCAACGAUGGGCAGUGUCAUGUGGGCAGUGACAACCAUUAUGCUGCCUCCACUACCAUGGAUUAUCCCUCUCUGGGGCUGAUGACUGAGAAGCUGUCCCAGAAAAACAUCAAUUUGAUCUUUGCAGUGACUGAAAAUGUAGUCAAUCUCUACCAGAACUAUAGUGAGCUCAUCCCAGGGACCACAGUGGGGGUUCUAUCUACUGAUUCCAGCAAUGUCCUCCAGCUCAUUGUUGAUGCUUACGGGAAAAUCCGCUCUAAAGUAGAGCUGGAAGUGCGUGACCUCCCUGAGGAGUUGUCCUUAUCCUUCAACGCCACCUGUCUCAACAACGAGGUCAUCCCAGGCCUUAAGUCUUGUGUCGGACUCAAGAUUGGAGACACGGUGAGCUUCAGCAUUGAGGCCAAGGUGCGUGGCUGCCCCCAGGAGAAGGAGAAGUCCUUCACCAUCAAGCCUGUGGGCUUCAAAGACAGCCUCACCGUCCAGGUCACCUUCGACUGUGACUGUGCCUGCCAGGCCCAGGCUGAGCCUCAGAGCCACCACUGCAACAACGGCAACGGGACCUUUGAGUGUGGGGUGUGCCGCUGCGGGCCUGGCUGGCUGGGGUCCCAGUGUGAGUGCUCAGAAGAGGACUACCGUCCCUCCCAGCAGGACGAGUGUAGCCCCCGGGAGGGCCAGCCCAUCUGCAGCCAGCGGGGCGAGUGUCUCUGUGGCCAGUGCGUCUGCCAUAGCAGUGACUUUGGCAAGAUCACGGGCAAGUACUGCGAGUGUGAUGACUUCUCCUGUGUCCGCUACAAGGGGGAGAUGUGCUCAGGCCAUGGCCAGUGCAGCUGUGGGGACUGCCUGUGUGACUCCGACUGGACCGGCUACUACUGCAACUGUACCACACGCACGGACACCUGCAUGUCCAGCAAUGGGCUGCUGUGCAGUGGGCGGGGCAAGUGUGAAUGCGGCAGCUGCGUCUGCAUCCAGCCGGGCUCCUACGGGGACACCUGUGAGAAGUGUCCCACCUGCCCUGAUGCCUGCACCUUUAAGAAGGAGUGUGUGGAGUGUAAGAAGUUUAACCGAGGAGCCCUGUACGAGGAGAAUACCUGCAGCCGUUACUGUCGUGAUGAGAUUGAGCCUGUGAAGGAGCUUAAGGACACUGGAAAGGAUGCUGUGAAUUGUACCUACAAGAAUGAGGAGGACUGUGUCGUCAGAUUCCAGUACUAUGAAGACUCCAGUGGAAAGUCCAUCCUGUAUGUGGUAGAAGAGCCCGAGUGUCCCAAGGGCCCUGACAUCCUGGUGGUCCUGCUUUCAGUGAUGGGGGCCAUUCUGCUCAUCGGCCUUGCUACUCUGCUCAUCUGGAAGCUCCUCAUUACCAUCCAUGACCGGAAGGAGUUUGCUAAAUUUGAGGAAGAGAGAGCCAGAGCCAAAUGGGACACAGCCAACAACCCACUGUAUAAAGAGGCCACGUCCACCUUCACCAACAUCACCUAUCGGGGCACUUAAUGACAGGCAGUCAUCCUCAGAUCACUAUCAGACUGUCCCAGGACUGUGGGUGUCUCUGCUGUCAUGUUUGCAGGGGCAAUACCUGUGGGGCGGAAUUGGGGGCUUGGAGUGGGGUGGGUGGGAAGAAUGUGGGUCUCUGUGCGUGUGUGCAUGUGGGUGUGCUGCGUGUGGGAGAGUGUGUAACUUAAAACUUGUGAUGUGUCCCAGAGAAGCAGAGCUCCUCGCCUUUGUCCUCAGAACGCCUCCUUCAGGGAGUCUACCUGCUUAACCUGAGGGUGACCUAGUAGCUGAGCAGGUAUUCUUCAUUACCUCAGUGGGAAGCCAGCUUUCCUUCUCAGGCCAUUCUCUUAAAGAGGAGGGCAGGGCCAAGGCCUCUCAUUUCAGAGAAAGGGGCCUUGGUUUACCCUGUGUUUAUGGUUCUUGGGCCUGACUCUCAGCAGCUCUGGUAGGAACUGCCAGGCUUUGCAGCCUUGCUGUGUCAUCCAUGCCCCUAGCUCCUCUCCCUUCCCUCAGGCAGAAGGAGAAAUCCGGGGAGAGCUGAACCAUCAGAGCUGCCUGUCUUUGCCAUCACCUCAGUCCGGCAUGGUUCUCUCCUAAAGGAAGUCCUUUCUACCUAUUCUUCGGUCUGUUGGGAGUGAGAAUGGCAGGGUCACCCACGGGUCAUGCAUGGCCUGGGGUUAAGGUGCCCGAGUUCCCGAGUUCAUAAUCCUAACCCUUCAGAUUUGCCUCAUUGACAGCUCUACCCUAGUGAUUCGUGUAGAAAAAGUGUGUCACCCUUAGACCAGCAACACCUCUUUACCUCCUAUUCCACCCUCUCACUACUAUAGACAUUUGCUACAUACUGGGAAUUUCUCUCAUGACCAGAAGCUAUUCCUUCCAGGGAGAGUGCUAUGGUUAGAGCCAGAGGUCUGGCCUCACCCUUCAGGCCUUCUGUCUCGUGUCCAAGGCACCUCCACACACCCAACCCUGUGCUUCUGUGUGCUACGUCCACCCAUGGGGCUGAUUGCAUUUAUCUACCUCUUGGGUGUCUUGUGAAGGAGUCAUUCCCACGGGUCUUUGAGUCUGCUGGGCAUAAGUGCCAGGGUGGAAUGAUGGGCCAGUCAUAUCAGCGUGUGUGGCCCAUUCUCCUAUGGGCCGGGCAACCUCAUUUUAACUCAGUCUUUAAUCUGAGAGGCCACAAGUGCAAUUUUGUUUUAUUUUUCUCAUUGGGGCACCUGAAACCAUGAUGAGGCUUGUUUAAUCUAAAGGAGCAUAGAUAUAAACACACUUGCAUUAUAUUUGUAAUUUUAUUUGAUGAUGAAGAAGAAAAGGGUGAAAAGCCACACAGACCUGGGCUGGAUGCAGACACUCCCACUUGGCAUCAUUCAUAGCAAGUUGCUGCCCAGUUGCUGGGUCUGUAAGGGCUCUCUCAUCCCUGAAGCCUGCGGGGAUGGACACAUGGACAUGCUGGACCUUUCCCAAGCAGGAGGAGGUAAAUGGGCUGUUCUUUUUUUCUAGCAAAAGCAGAAAAACUCCAUUGGUGUUUACAUUCGUUCAACGUUAACCACCACCACCACUCCCCAAGAAAAAGGGAAGGGCCUAAAAACAGUGGUCUGAUGGUCAGAAAAUCUAAGUCCUGGCCUCAGUGUUGCAGCUAAGGAACUUUAACCUUAAUUAAGGCAAGUUACUUUCUUUUUCCUGGGGCUCAGUUUUCUAGUUUGAAAAAUGAUGGGUUUGGACCAGCCAGUCUAGGCGGUCUCUUUCCGUACCAACAGUCUGUGAUGCUGGGACUUACUGUGGCAUCAAACAUGCAGUCAGGAUUCUGUGGGAUGUUGAUGCUGUUUGUUUUUUCGGUUGGGAGACCUGGCUCUGGCAAGAGCAGAUGUCAUCCCAUAUCACCUUUCUCAGUGAAAAAGCUUCAUUCUGUCGUCUCAUAGAACCCCUUUUCCAACUGUUGUUGGUAGUUACAUCUCCUGUUGUAGCACUUAAGCUCCACUUAGUUAUUAUUUCUUUGUUCACUUUGCACAUGGUUUCAUCCACGAAUUGGGGAAGAGGACUCCAUAAGAAGUAGCUGCAAUGUGUCUUCUGUAUCCAUGUGUUAACAUUGAGAAUAAGCCUUGGGAUUAGGAACAGGACAGAUGACCGAGCCCUGCCUCACUUGUGGAUUACACCUUCCUGUUGAGGAUGCACGCCUGUAAUGACUUCCUCCACUGAAGUCUUGAACCCCUCAAAGUCAUCUGUGAAGCUUGGAAUCAACUUCUUCCAAACUCCAACUUUUGUUUAAGGCAGUGGGUUUCAAAGUGUCGGCCCUAGGACCAGAUGAUCUAAGUCCCCCUGGUGAUUUUUUUGCAUGCUCAAGUUUGAGAACCACUGAUUUAAGGAAUCACAUACCUAUCCUUUCUGGCUUAGAAAGAAGUUUACAAUAAGUCAGCUCAGUUACUAAAAGAUUAAGAACAUACCUUGGCUGAUAGAUUAAGAAAACCAAAUAUCUACCCACACAAAAUGAAAGUCUACUUUCAAUCCAUUUUCCAAGUUAAGUAAUCACAGGCUUAUUGGGUUCACUCACAGCCACAAAUUCCCAUGAAAAACUAAAAGAAGUAAUAGAUCAGAAUCACAGGGGAAAAAAACCGCUAACAGGAUACUUGGCUGGCAGAGAAGAACCUUUUGUGUGUACCAAGCUGAAGCAAGAAAAUACUCUUACUGCAUUAAUUCACAGGAGAUAGGAUCAAAAUCUUAAUUAUUAACAGUGUCAUCCAAUAGGAUGCCAGAAUAAGACUUUAGAAUUUGUAACUUCACUUUUUGCUAUUUAAAAUUUAUUAAGCACUGACAGUGUGGCAUUGAAGUACUUUAUAGAACAUUUGUUAUCUUUGCCUUUGAGUCUUACAUUCCUUACGUAAUGUACAUUUUUAAAAACACAAUACAGUACAUGUCAUCAUAAAAAGAUUAUGUGAACCUAGACUGAGUCCUUAUAUGGUGAAAUUUUGUAAGAUUCCUUGUUUUAUUUACGUCAUGGUAACUGAUGACUAAAUGGAUGAAAAUGGAGGACUUUAUGUGAAAAUGAAAUGGAAAGCAAUAUGUCAAGUAUAUGUGUAAUCCUUUAACUCUUGACCUCUGUAGUUUGAAUUCUAUUAUAAUAGACAUCUAAUGACCACUGGGACCAAUUAUAAGCAGAUUCUCUUGGAAUUACAAUGCCAUCAUUUUUCACAAUGAUGUAAGGAAACAAUAAUAUAUGCUUUGCAGAUAAGCUAUUUAAUACUUGCUGAAAAAUAAUUUCUACUUGGUUUUGUAAUAUAUUCUGGAAAUACAUUUUCCUAAUUUGUUUUAGUUUGAUUAAAGCACACAAGGAGGCAGUUUUAAAUCUUUUGAUCGGGGUUAACCAUACUGUUAAAUAAAAUUUUAAAAAUCCACUUACUGUGGGUAUCCAAGAAUGGAUUGUGUGUGAAAGGAAAAUUAUAGAUCAGGAACAUGACUGUGUUCCUUGCAGCUGCUAAUGUCAUAGUGAUGUCUCUCCAGCCUCUUGCAUAGAGGAAAUAUUUUUCAUUAGCUGUGUAUUUUCUGACAGUACACCAAAGAAUGCACACGGAAUAUAAGUAUCUAGAAAGCAAAAUUUAGGAAAUUUAAGAGACUUUAGGCAAAACCUCCAUUGUAAAUUAUUCUUUAACAGUGUCCCUGAAAAUAUCUUUGAAAGGAAAAAGUUUCACAAUUCAUUGUGUUUUACCUAAUAUAUUAGUUUUUUUGUGACUCAAGCACAAUAGGCAUGAUUCUUUGGAGAGGUCAGAGUGACGCCUGUAUAAAUAUCAUGUGAUGGCCGAUGGAAAUAUUUUGUUAAGAAAAAGGAAAAAUGUUGAUGGAUCUAUGCCAGACUUUACUUUUCCGUACCCUUAUAAUCACCCACUGUGACAGAGACUGCUAAUUGUGCUCCAGUAUCUGUUUUCGCCUUCUCACAUAGUACUAGAACUCCUAAUUUUUAGCUGGACACAUGGCUGCUCAGAAUAAAUACUGUUUCCUAGCCUCUCUUGAAGCUAGGUGUGUGAUGGCUGUCUGUUGACAGAUGUUAAUGAAAGAGGUGCACACAACUUCCAGAAAGUGCCACUUAAGGGAGGGAGCAUGACUUUCUUCUCCCCUUCCUUCUUCCUGCAGGCUGGAAUGUAGAGAUGAUGGCUAGACUGUAAGCAGACAUCAUGGAUCAAGAUGUGACCCUAGGGGAUUACUACUGUAUAACAAAUUACCACACAAUUUUAGCAGCUUAAAACAACAAACACUAUCUUGCAGUUUCCGUGUUCAGGAAUUCAAGAAUGGCUUAGCUGGGUGGUUCUGUCUCAGAGUCUCUCGAGAGGUUGUAGUCAAGCUGUUGGCCAGAGCUGCAGUCAAUGGAAGGUUCAAAGGGGCUGGAGGAUCCUCUCCCAGGAUGGUUUAUUCACAUGGCUGUUGGCAGGAGGCAUCAGUUCCAUGCUGGCUAUCGACAAUAGGACAUUUCCAUAGGACUGCUUGAGUGUUCACGUGGCAUGUCAUCUGGCUUUUCCACAAGUGAGUAAUCCAAGAGAGAGCAAGGAGAAAGCUGCCAUGUCAUUUAUUACUUAGUUUUAUUAAGUGUCACAUCAUCACUUCUGCCAUACUCUUUGUUAUAGAUAGCUCACUAAAUCUAGCCCACAUUCAAGGGGAGGGAACUAGAUGCCACUUCUUGAAAAGAAGAACUUUGUGGUAGACAAAAUCAUUGCCUGUGACCACUCCCACCCCCAGCCAAAAAUAUCCAUAUCUUAAUCCCCAGAACCAGUGAAUAUGCUACCUUACAUGGAAUAAAGAACUUUGUUGAUGUAAUUAAGUAUCUUGAGAUAGGGAAAUUAUCAUGGAUUAUCUGGGUAGGAUUAAUUUAAUCACAAGAGUCCUUAUAAGAGGAAGGCAAGAGGAUCAGAAUGAGAGUAGUAAAUGUAAUGAUGGAAGCAGGUCAGAGUGAUAUGGCCAUGUGUCAAGGAAUGAACACAGCCCUUAGAUGCUGGCAAAGGUAAGAAUGGAUUUUCCUCUAGAGCCUCCAGAAGGAAUGCAGCCUUUGAUUUUAGCCGUGUAAGACCCAUUUAGGACUUCUGACCUCCAUAAAUGUAAGGUAAAAAAUUGCUGUUUUUUUACCACGAACCAUGAUGUUUGUGGUAAUUUGCUACAGUAGCAAUGGAAAACUAAUACAAGCAUCAAAGUAUUUGUGGACAUAUUUUAAAAAUCAUCACAGUCCACCCUCUGGUCACAAAUUAUUAUUUUUUAAAAACAUUUAUUUAUUUUGGCUGU
This is an RNA transcript of Delphinapterus leucas (beluga whale), 7684 nucleotides long. It is a transcript of the gene named integrin subunit beta 3, with no coding region annotated. The record is from RefSeq and is a predicted model, not a curated record. NCBI's taxonomy places the organism in Eukaryota, Metazoa, Chordata, Mammalia, Artiodactyla, Monodontidae.